This 476-nucleotide ribosomal RNA is filed under the name uncultured bacterium. Its description in RNAcentral is "partial 16S ribosomal RNA". It matches the Rfam family "Bacterial small subunit ribosomal RNA", at positions 28 to 506 of the family's 1533-position model. The record is from RNAcentral.
GAUUAACGCUGGCGGCGUGCAUAACACAUGCAAGUCGAACGAUGAAACUUUUUUGAUUUCUUCGGAAUGAUUAAAAGUGGAUUAGUGGCGGACGGGUGAGUAACGCGUGAGUAACCUGCCUUAGAGAAGGGGAUAGCCUUUGGAAACGAAGAAUAAUACCCUAUGAAACCAUAACCUCGCAUGAGGAAUUGGUCAAAGAUUUAUCGCUCUAAGAUGGACUUGCGUCUGAUUAGUUAGUUGGUGGGGUAACGGCCCACCAAGACAGCGAUCAGUAGCCGGCUUGAGAGAGUGUACGGCCACAUUGGGACUGAGACACGGCCCAGACUCCUACGGGAGGCAGCAGUGGGGAAUUUUGCACAAUGGGGGAAACCCUGAUGCAGCGACGCCGCGUGAUUUAGAAGGCCUUCGGGUUGUAAAAAUCUUUUCUAUGGGAAGAAAAUGACAGUACCAUAGGAAUAAGGACCGGCUAAUUACGU